CGAGAUUGCGCCAUUGCACUCCAGCCUGGGCAAUGAGCGAAACUCCAUUUCAAAAAAACAAAAAAAAGUAUAUAAAAUUCUAGCAAGGACUACAACAAAAUUUGACUCCGGGCUCUGAUACUUCAGCUUAUCUCCUCUCCAGAGACCUGUUAACAAAUCUAUUUCUGUCCUCCUGUACUGAUUACCUCUAUCUGCAGAAAGCCCGGGGAAAGCAGAAACAGAAGAUACUCAUGUGGUAAUGAGUUUUGUUUCCAGACAUCCCUAAUAAGGCUGUGUUAUGAAAAUGGAAACAAAACCAUUGCAUUACAAAACAAUAAGCUCGACUUCAGAAGAAGAGAGGAUGACUUGUGGACCAAAACUCCAGAGGAGUCAGGGGAAGGGCUGGAUGGCAUAGAUGAAGCUUUGACCCACCCAAAUAAUGGACAUAUCUGAAAUAGGCACAAAGGAAUAAUGAGAAGAUAAAAAUGCAUAAGUAAACUAGCAUGAUAUAUUCUGG
This is a long non-coding RNA of Sapajus apella (tufted capuchin), 496 nucleotides long. RefSeq lists it as uncharacterized. Lineage: Eukaryota; Metazoa; Chordata; Mammalia; Primates; Cebidae. The transcript is spliced from 2 exons. The record is from RefSeq and is a predicted model, not a curated record.